This 498-nucleotide ribosomal RNA is filed under the name uncultured bacterium. RNAcentral describes it as "partial 16S ribosomal RNA". It matches the Rfam family "Bacterial small subunit ribosomal RNA", at positions 28 to 507 of the family's 1533-position model. The record is from RNAcentral.
GACGAACGCUGGCGGCGUGCCUAAUACAUGCAAGUCGAACGAGAGCACCCGGUGCUUGCACUGGUCAAUCUAGUGGCGAACGGGUGAGUAACACGUGGGUAACCUGCCCAUCAGAGGGGGAUAACAUCCGGAAACGGAUGCUAAAACCGCAUAGGUCUUCGAACCGCAUGGUUUGAAGAGGAAAAGAGGCGCAAGCUUCUGCUGAUGGAUGUACCCGCGGUGCAUUAGCUAGUUGGUGAGGUAACGGCUCACCAAGGCCGUGAUGCAUAGCCGACCUGAGAGGGUGAUCGGCCACAUUGGGACUGAGACACGGCCCAAACUCCUACGGGAGGCAGCAGUAGGGAAUCUUCCGCAAUGGACGCAAGUCUGACGGAGCAACGCCGCGUGAGUGAAGAAGGUUUUCGGAUCGUAAAACUCUGUUGUUAGAGAAGAACAAGUGCUAGAGUAACUGUUAGCGCCUUGACGGUAUCUAACCAGAAAGCCACGGCUAACUACGUG